UACGUAGGGGGCAAGCGUUGUCCGGAAUCAUUGGGCGUAAAGCGCGUGUAGGCGGCUCGGUAAGUCUGCUCUGAAAGCCCGGGGCUCAACCCUGGGAGGCGGGUGGAUACUGCUGAGCUCGAGUCCGGAAGAGGCGAGUGGAAUUCCUGGUGUAGCGGUGAAAUGCGCAGAUAUCAGGAGGAACACCAAUGGCGAAGGCAGCUCGCUGGGACGGUACUGACGCUGAGACGCGAAAGCGUGGGGAGCAAGCAGG
RNAcentral lists this ribosomal RNA (253 nucleotides) under uncultured bacterium. RNAcentral describes it as "partial 16S ribosomal RNA". It matches the Rfam family "Bacterial small subunit ribosomal RNA", at positions 524 to 776 of the family's 1533-position model. The record is from RNAcentral.